Molecule: long non-coding RNA, 1524 nt
Filed under: Mus spicilegus (steppe mouse)
Lineage: Eukaryota; Metazoa; Chordata; Mammalia; Rodentia; Muridae
Description: lncRNA (ENSMSIG00000021855.1)
Source: RNAcentral
GACAGAAGCUUGGGACAUUGUGUACGUGACUACUAGCCAUGCUUCUCCUGUGGGGGCUGUGGGAGUGGUAACUUCUACCGGAGCUGGGGGUCAUGAGACAUGAGGAAAAGCCUUCUGUCCCAUUUGGUGAAAAUUACCAUCACUGGUUUGACCGGGGUCAAAACCUCAGUGUAACUGGAGACCAGCCUGUCUGUGCAUAGCCCAUUGCCCCACACAUGUCCACAGAUGGCAGUGGCAGGAAGAAAGUCAUACUAGAUCAUGAACACCCAUUUAUCCAGAGUAAGAAAGAAUUUGGAUCUGAAAGUUGGGAACCAAGACAAGAGACUUUACAGGUUUGUAUGCUUUUAGCUGAGGAAAUGACAUAAAUUUUUCAUGCUUAUUGUAUAUGUCUUACAAAUGCAUAUAAUUUACAUAUUGGACCUAUUUGCCAAGAUUGAGAGUAUUAACUGCAAUGGCCCUUCCUCAAUUCUACCUCUAGAGAUUGACAAUCAAGUAUUUGCCCAGCAAAGAUGCAUUUAAUGAGAAAUCUCAGUCUUGCUGUUGGGACAGAUCCCCAUAUUGAAUUUGCCUUUAUUUUUCAUAGUUUAUCAAUAUUGCCUUAGUUAAUUAUUUUCUUUUUCUUUUAUGACCAGUGGAAACCUACUUGUCUUUCCUGUCACCUUCUAAGAAAGCAGCAUGACGUUUCUUCAGAAUGGGAAAGCUUUCAAUGAUGUCUUAUGCAACAUUCUUUCAUUCCUCUCACAUAAAUGGAAUAUGAGUUAUUCUCAAUUAUAGAUUUUUCAUCUUCAAUUCCAUUCUUCUAAGCCCGCAGGAAAUUCUCUUUUGAAUGCAGUCAUGAAGAAGAAUAUAUACCCCUUGCAAGUUAAGAUUGGUUGUAUCACUCACAUUCCUACUAUGAUGGUUUCUGACAAUGUUUUAUUUUACUUUCAUUUUGAUUCUUGAUGUAUCUAUUGAUGAAACAAACUAUAAAUUAACAGCUUUUCUCCAAUUCUACAACUUCUUAUUGUUUAUGUGAAUUCUGGUUUCAUAAUCUGCUGUUUUCUUCCUGGUCAAUAUCCUGAAGAAAGUGUAUUUGUGUGUGUGUAUGUGUGCGUGUGUGUGUGUGUCUGGGCUUUUCUCCCUACCCCUCUCUUUCACAUGGAAUCAUCUUGAAUUGUUCAUUGUCAUUUGAAAUAAGAGUACCGUGUUAUUCUCUGUAUUCAUAUUAAUUGUGAAAAGUAAUUGAUUUUCUCUUUUUCUGGACAUGGUAGAUUUGUUGCACUGUGGUCUCACAGCAGAUGUGGUUGUCUGUUCAAAACCUGCAGAAGAUCAAGCCAAUCAACAUUCCAGCAUAGAUCAUGGAGGGGCUCAUGCACCCACCCCUAGCUAAAGAGCUAUUGGCAGUUGUUAGCUGCCAACAGAGCCCCUUUAAGGGAUGUGGCCCCUGAGAGAAUGGUUAGCCACACUCCAGUGAAUGGCUCACCUACACUGAUGUAUAUAAGAGGCACUAAUAAAAGUCAGUGAACGUGAAAAGUAAAAGGGUAU